AUGGCAAAAAAAAUAUGUAAAAAAUUUAUUUUAAUUUGCCAUGGCAAUUUUUACUAUAUUGACAUGGCAAAUUUAAUUAUAAUGCCAUGUCAAUUUCUUUUUAACCUCCUUUUUUCUGUGAGAUUUUUACUUUUUCUUCCGUGGCAAAUUUUACCUUUUUCACAUGGCAAAGUUACCUACAUUGCCACUGUAAUCUUUAGCUUUUGCAUACAUGUCAAUAUAAUCGCUAGUGGCAAUUUUUUUCAUGCCAAAUUAACUUUUAUGGGGCGAUGCCAAUUUACUCUAAUUUCCUUGCAUUUUUUUGCUUUACAUAUGAUCCAUGGAUUUUUUUUACUUUUUCAUCAUUCAUGGAACCACGGUAAAUUACCUUUAAGAAACAUGGCAAUUUCUCCCAAACUAUAUAUGGUACACUUUUUGUGUGUGUUUUACAUUUUUCUGCCACUACGUAAAGAUUCAAAUUUGCCAUUACUUCUUUUUUGCGCCAUUUGA
Molecule: ribosomal RNA, 489 nt
Filed under: Triticum aestivum (bread wheat)
Lineage: Eukaryota; Viridiplantae; Streptophyta; Magnoliopsida; Poales; Poaceae
Description: partial small subunit ribosomal RNA
Source: RNAcentral